This 490-nucleotide ribosomal RNA is filed under the name uncultured bacterium. RNAcentral's name for it is "partial 16S ribosomal RNA". It matches the Rfam family "Bacterial small subunit ribosomal RNA", at positions 30 to 507 of the family's 1533-position model. The record is from RNAcentral.
AUUGAACGCUGGCGGCAUGCUUUACACAUGCAAGUCGGACGGCAGCGGGGUAGUGCUUGCACUACUGCCGGCGAGUGGCGAACGGGUGAGUAAUAUAUUGGAACGUACCGAGUAAUGGGGGAUAACCAAUCGAAAGAUUGGCUAAUACCGCAUACGCUCUGAGGAGGAAAGCAGGGGGCCUUCGGGCCUUGCGUUAUUCGAGCGGCCAAUAUCUGAUUAGCUAGUUGGUGGGGUAAGGGCCUACCAAGGCGACGAUCAGUAGCGGGUCUGAGAGGAUGAUCCGCCACACUGGGACUGAGACACGGCCCAGACUCCUACGGGGGGCAGCAGUGGGGAAUUUUGGACAAUGGGCGCAAGCCUGAUCCAGCCAUGCCGCGUGUCUGAAGAAGGCCUUCGGGUUGUAAAGGACUUUUGUUAGGGAAGAAAAAGGAGCGGUUAAUACCCGUUUCUGCUGACGGUACCUAAAGAAUAAGCACCGGCUAACUACGUG